Molecule: ribosomal RNA, 425 nt
Filed under: uncultured Caryophanaceae bacterium
Lineage: Bacteria; Bacillati; Bacillota; Bacilli; Caryophanales; Caryophanaceae
Description: bacterial SSU rRNA
Rfam family: Bacterial small subunit ribosomal RNA
Source: RNAcentral
AGGGAAUCUUCCACAAUGGACGAAAGUCUGAUGGAGCAACGCCGCGUGAGUGAUGAAGGUUUUCGGAUCGUAAAACUCUGUUGUAAUGGAAGAACCAGUACGUCAGGCAAUGGACGUACCUUGACGGUACCUUAUUAGAAAGCCACGGCUAACUACGUGCCAGCAGCCGCGGUAAUACGUAGGUGGCAAGCGUUGUCCGGAAUUAUUGGGCGUAAAGCGCGCGCAGGUGGUUUCUUAAGUCUGAUGUGAAAGGCUACGGCUCAACCGUAGUAAGCAUUUGAAACUGGGAGACUUGAGUGCAGAAGAGGAAAGUGGAAUUCCAAGUGUAGCGGUGAAAUGCGUAGAGAUUUGGAGGAACACCAGUGGCGAAGGCGACUUUCUGGUCUGCAACUGACGCUGAGGCGCGAAAGCAUGGGGAGCAAACA